UAGCCACGAGGAAAGAAAAUGCCGCGUGACGCAUGCAACUGCUGCAGCCUCCGUCCGCUCUCCCAACACGGCGGUAGCAGCGCAGCGCAGCGCGCGCGGCGGCACAGCCAGACGAGGCAAAGGCAACAGAAGUGGUCGUCCUCGCCUCUAGUCCGGCAGUCUCAUCUCACGCAGCGGUCGGCAGUGGCAUGCGUUUUGGACGAUCUCGACGGAUGAUUUCUAGCUGCUCUUUUGUCGAUCUGACCGAGACGAGACGACGACGGACAAGCAAAGACUGAUGGUACUACCCCACGGGGCCGGCUACGUGGUCCUUGGGUUGUUCGUGCUUGAGAAGAAUCUGAAGCAUCUCUAAAAGCUAUGCAAAAACUCGCAGACGGCGAGACAAGGAAAAAAGCUGCGCCGUCGUACACAGUACGAUGCUCAUGAUGAUAUAUGGGUACUCCGGAAUAGGGCCUUGUUAGUUAAAAAAAAAAUUUGUAAAAAAAUUUAGAUCCUUGUCACAUCGAAUCUUACGGUAUAUGCAUGAAAUAUUAAAUAUAGAUAAAAAUAAUAACUAAUUGCAUAAUUUGUCUGUAAUUUGUG
RNAcentral lists this long non-coding RNA (582 nucleotides) under Sorghum bicolor (sorghum). Its description in RNAcentral is "long non-coding RNA (SBIC_LNC000441)". The record is from RNAcentral. Lineage: Eukaryota; Viridiplantae; Streptophyta; Magnoliopsida; Poales; Poaceae.